Long non-coding RNA from Homo sapiens (human), 1644 nucleotides. Ensembl annotates it as long intergenic non-protein coding RNA 2395. NCBI's taxonomy places the organism in Eukaryota, Metazoa, Chordata, Mammalia, Primates, Hominidae. The record is from Ensembl.
AUGUCAGGUACAACAGAGACAGCUGUUUGUCCCCCAGUAUCCUUCAGACAAAGCCAUAUAUGAUUGAAGGUUAUCAGUACUGUGCUUUUGGAGGAUUCAGAAGAAGUUAUAUCUGAUUGGGAGAUUGAAAAGGAUUGGCCUGAAGGAGAGGUGGUUUUUGAACUGCAUCUUAAAGGAUGAGGAAACUGAGGCUGAGAGGGUAGAGAACUUUGCCUGAGGUCACUCAGCAGGGACCCACCCAUCACAGUAAAUGCCAGCACUGCUGAUGCCAAAACAAUGUUAUUUGUAGGCCCUCGGAAUUUGUGACCUGAAGGAAGAAGAGCAGGGCCGUGGGAAGUAUGUAACCAGUGUCAUGCCCCUGGUCCCAAGGAAGCAGUGGCUUGGUAAAGAGGGGACCCCCGUCAAUAACUCCCUGUAAUUACUGGGCACCCACUCUGAGCUCCUCAGUGGAAUCCUAAGGUUAAUAAGACUGUCUCUAGCCACUGGGGCUCCCAGCCUGGAGUGAGGAUUGCAGAGUUCAGCUGGCCAUCAUCCACCAGCCGGGGGACUGUGCACAUCAGUUAACCUCUCCUCUCAGGCCUUGAAAAGCACCAGGCUUAGUACACGUUUGUUAAAUGAAUGCACUGCAGUUUUUUUGCUUGUUAAAGGCAGGUAAUAAUAAUGAUAUUGCUGACUAAGGGCUCCCAUCCACUCCCAGUGAGCCCGGUGCCCCCCCGGGCCUCCUCAGUGAGCUGAGGAGGCUCAGCAGUGCCUGCACGUCCCCUCGCCACAAUGUCAUGUGCCACCUCUUCAAAGGAGGGAUGUACCAGCUAGUGGACGUGACCUUGACUGCAAAGGGCGGCACGCAGCUGAUGUAAUGGUCGCUUAAGUGUUCACAAAUGCCUGAACACCCUGUCCUACCUGGUCCUACCUGGAUGCUGGCCUCAGUAAGCUCCUGGGCUCAUUGAAGAUGAACCUAGCAGUAGUAUUUACACCACUUGUUGUGUGCCCACUGUGGGCCCGGCGCCAUGCCGAGUGCUCUAUGGAUGUGAGAGAAACGGAGGCCCAGAAAGCAGAAAUGAUGUGUUAAGAUCACUCAUCAAGCUGAUGGUACAGAGUGCUGGGAGAGAAAAGCAUACGACAUAGACAGGGAGGUCAAGCUCCACCACGCAGAUGAGGUGCAGGCCACCAGUCUUCCUCUGCCACAUCUCUUUCUGAAAAGGACUUCACAUUCACCCUUGCAAUCCAUGUGGGGACACUGUUGGAUAGGAGGCGUGGUCCCAGCGUGGUCUCCCUGUCUGGGCCUCUGCCUAUGCCAAAUGUUUGCCUUACGCUGCACACUCAAGAGGUUCCAUGUAUACAGAUGGGAAUUCCAGAGCUACAGAAAAGGCAGCAAGCACCAUGAUUUAAGCUAACCAGUGUGGAUUCACACCUUCCUCUCUCUCUAUCAGUGGCAGAACUACCAGCUAGAGUAAGAAGUGGUUGAUCCAGGACCUAAACAUUCUGGAAACUCUUGCCCACUUCUGGGAGAAAUGACCCAAUCCAUAGUACUAAGCACACCUUAACUUUCGUAGGACGCAGGCAAGUUGUCAUACCGUGUGCCUAAAUAUAGAAAAAUGAUCCACUGGACUAAUAAAGUGUUAAAUAAAAUAUGUCCUGACUGUC